Non-coding RNA from Rummeliibacillus stabekisii, 193 nucleotides. It matches the Rfam family "6S / SsrS RNA". From Rfam's summary of the family: E. coli 6S RNA was the first non coding RNA to be sequenced, but its function was unknown until recently. It consists of 184 nucleotides that fold into an extended hairpin structure with a large single-stranded internal bulge. Lineage: Bacteria; Bacillati; Bacillota; Bacilli; Caryophanales; Caryophanaceae. The record is from Rfam.
UACAAGCUGCGUUGUACGUAAUAAUAUGAAGUUUUAACCUUUAAGCUGUAAUAGGGAGUUUUAAUUGAGUACGGACUGGUAUGCCGCAUCCACCUUGAUGCGGACGAACAUGAAAUGCUCUGCGAACACCCACUUUGAGGAGUGGUGGUUUAAAACUUUCGAUAUUUAAAAUUACGGCAAAGGCGGCUUAUUA